AUUGAACGCUGGCGGCAGGCCUAACACAUGCAAGUCGAGCGGAUGAAGGGAGCUUGCUCCUGGAUUCAGCGGCGGACGGGUGAGUAAUGCCUAGGAAUCUGCCUGGUAGUGGGGGAUAACGUCCGGAAACGGGCGCUAAUACCGCAUACGUCCUGAGGGAGAAAGUGGGGGAUCUUCGGACCUCACGCUAUCAGAUGAUCCUAGGUCGGAUUAGCUAGUUGGUGGGGUAAAGGCCUACCAAGGCGACGAUCCGUAACUGGUCUGAGAGGAUGAUCAGUCACACUGGAACUGAGACACGGUCCAGACUCAUACGGGAGGCAGCAGUGGGGAAUAUUGGACAAUGGGCGAAAGCCUGAGCCAGCCAUGCCGCGUGUGUGAAGAAGGUCUUCGGAUUGUAAAGCACUUUAAGUUGGGAGGAAGGGCAGUAAGUUAAUACCUUGCUGUUUUGACGUUACCAACAGAAUAAGCACCGGCUAACUUCGUG
RNAcentral lists this ribosomal RNA (484 nucleotides) under uncultured bacterium. RNAcentral describes it as "partial 16S ribosomal RNA". It matches the Rfam family "Bacterial small subunit ribosomal RNA", at positions 30 to 507 of the family's 1533-position model. The record is from RNAcentral.